Molecule: ribosomal RNA, 1396 nt
Filed under: Lactobacillus delbrueckii subsp. lactis
Lineage: Bacteria; Bacillati; Bacillota; Bacilli; Lactobacillales; Lactobacillaceae
Description: bacterial SSU rRNA
Rfam family: Bacterial small subunit ribosomal RNA
Source: RNAcentral
UAAUACAUGCAAGUCGAACGAACUCUGGUAUUGAUUGGUGCUUGCAUCAUGAUUUACAUUUGAGUGAGUGGCGAACUGGUGAGUAACACGUGGGAAACCUGCCCAGAAGCGGGGGAUAACACCUGGAAACAGAUGCUAAUACCGCAUAACAACUUGGACCGCAUGGUCCGAGUUUGAAAGAUGGCUUCGGCUAUCACUUUUGGAUGGUCCCGCGGCGUAUUAGCUAGAUGGUGGGGUAACGGCUCACCAUGGCAAUGAUACGUAGCCGACCUGAGAGGGUAAUCGGCCACAUUGGGACUGAGACACGGCCCAAACUCCUACGGGAGGCAGCAGUAGGGAAUCUUCCACAAUGGACGAAAGUCUGAUGGAGCAACGCCGCGUGAGUGAAGAAGGGUUUCGGCUCGUAAAACUCUGUUGUUAAAGAAGAACAUAUCUGAGAGUAACUGUUCAGGUAUUGACGGUAUUUAACCAGAAAGCCACGGCUAACUACGUGCCAGCAGCCGCGGUAAUACGUAGGUGGCAAGCGUUGUCCGGAUUUAUUGGGCGUAAAGCGAGCGCAGGCGGUUUUUUAAGUCUGAUGUGAAAGCCUUCGGCUCAACCGAAGAAGUGCAUCGGAAACUGGGAAACUUGAGUGCAGAAGAGGACAGUGGAACUCCAUGUGUAGCGGUGAAAUGCGUAGAUAUAUGGAAGAACACCAGUGGCGAAGGCGGCUGUCUGGUCUGUAACUGACGCUGAGGCUCGAAAGUAUGGGUAGCAAACAGGAGUAGAGACCAAGGUAGUCCAUACCGUAAACGAUGAAUGCUAAGUGUUGGUAGGGUUUCCGCCCUUCAGUGCUGCAGCUAACGCAUUAAGCAUUCCGCCUGGGGAGUACGGCCGCAAGGCUGAAACUUAAAGGAAUUGACGGGGGCCCGCACAAGCGGUGGAGCAUGUGGUUUAAUUCGAAGCUACGCGAAGAACCUUACCAGGUCUUGACAUACUAUGCAAAUCUAAGAGAUUAGACGUUCCCUUCGGGGACAUGGAUACAGGUGGUGCAUGGUUGUCGUCAGCUCGUGUCGUGAGAUGUUGGGUUAAGUCCCGCAACGAGCGCAACCCUUAUUAUCAGUUGCCAGCAUUAAGUUGGGCACUCUGGUGAGACUGCCGGUGACAAACCGGAGGAAGGUGGGGAUGACGUCAAAUCAUCAUGCCCCUUAUGACCUGGGCUACACACGUGCUACAAUGGAUGGUACAACGAGUUGCGAACUCGCGAGAGUAAGCUAAUCUCUUAAAGCCAUUCUCAGUUCGGAUUGUAGGCUGCAACUCGCCUACAUGAAGUCGGAAUCGCUAGUAAUCGCGGAUCAGCAUGCCGCGGUGAAUACGUUCCCGGGCCUUGUACACACCGCCCGUCACACCAUGAGAG